RNAcentral lists this ribosomal RNA (601 nucleotides) under Potamonautes brincki. RNAcentral describes it as "eukaryotic LSU rRNA". The stretch from base 465 to 601 matches the Rfam family "Eukaryotic large subunit ribosomal RNA", at positions 813 to 949 of the family's 3401-position model. The record is from RNAcentral. Lineage: Eukaryota; Metazoa; Arthropoda; Malacostraca; Decapoda; Potamonautidae.
CUCACGGGUGGGUGGCGUGCUCCGGUCGGCGCCCUCCGGGGCCGAUCCCCGACUGCCCGCUGCCGCCGGGGUCUUUCCCAUACCAAAGCGGAGCCGCAACGGGAGCGGCGCGGAGUGAGACCCUUUCCUCCGCGCGUCAGUUCCUGGCUCCGUGGGUACCCCGGCGAGCGCGACUGUCCGGCGUACUUCCCCUACGGGGGAGGGCGCCGCCUGUUCGCAGGGGGGCGCAGGCCCGGGACUUGCCAUACGACGCCGUCGCGCAAAUCUGUUGUUGGCCACACCGGCUCUGCUUGGGCUCUCGGUUGGCGGUCCGCGCGUAAGGUUGCUGGGGACUUUAGGGCUUAGGGUUCGCCCGGUCCGGGUCCUGCCAGCAGCCCCGCGCGGUUCUCUGCCCUCCGAUCCUGCUCUGUCCGGAGUGGCCUAGCGCGCGUGCUGUCGGCAAGUACCAUGAGCAGACAUGUUGGGACCCGAAAGAUGGUGAACUAUGCCUGGCCAGGAUGAAGCCAGAGGAAACUCUGGUGGAGGUCCGCAGCAAUUCUGACGUGCAAAUCGAUUGUCAGAGCUGGGUAUAGGGGCGAAAGACUAAUCGAACCAUCUAGUA